UCAUUUUUUGUUUCCUCACUUGAUGUUGGGAUGCCUAUUAAAUACAGUUUUUUUAAAAAAAUUGAAAUGUUUUUGGGUCUGUCUUAGUCAGGAGAAAGAGUCCAAGAAGCUUCCACGAAGUAUCUAGAGUCCAGUGAAGUUGUUGAUUCUCUCACCGAAAUUCUGGUUGCUUUGAAUGAGAAGAAUGACAAGCCUACGUCUACUUUUGAAAUCAUUUAGCAAAAGCUAGGAGGUCCUUCAGUCUCUGACUACGAGAAGCUUCACGCUGAGAAGUCUGAACUUCAAAUAAAAUACAAUGAUCUUUUGGUUAAACAGCCGGGCACCUUCACAGAGGUAUCAUAUCAUUAAACAGUCUAUAUAGUAGGACAUGAUUCCAUUCUGAUGUAGCUCCUUAGUACUGGUUUUACCAUAGUUUUUCACCAUCCAUAAGCAGUCCAUAUAUCUCGAGUAUCUAACUUUAUCCACAGCUCAGUUUGGUCAUGUACGAGCUCAUAGGGUUUAAUUAGUUUGGCAUAUUCUAUUUGUGGUCAUUGUUACAAUUAGACACAGUGAAGAGCCUGCAUUCACGAAACUCUUCAGUAGAUGAUGUAAACAGAGACGCCAUUGAAGACAAACACACUGGCACCUGUGGCUGAUUUUGUAUCUGUACAUGUAGUUCUCAUUGCAAUAGCUUUUUUUGUUUUAAAUCUCCAGUGUACUUUUAGUUUCAUAUAUGCACGUA
This is a long non-coding RNA of Brassica oleracea var. oleracea, 721 nucleotides long. RefSeq lists it as uncharacterized. Lineage: Eukaryota; Viridiplantae; Streptophyta; Magnoliopsida; Brassicales; Brassicaceae. The transcript has 3 exons. The record is from RefSeq and is a predicted model, not a curated record.